This 300-nucleotide unclassified non-coding RNA is filed under the name uncultured Macrophomina. RNAcentral describes it as "sequence contains 5.8S rRNA gene, ITS2". The stretch from base 1 to 84 matches the Rfam family "5.8S ribosomal RNA", at positions 67 to 154 of the family's 154-position model. The record is from RNAcentral. Lineage: Eukaryota; Fungi; Ascomycota; Dothideomycetes; Botryosphaeriales; Botryosphaeriaceae.
GUAUAAGGGACGGGUGAGUCAUCGAAUCUUUGAACGCACAUUGCGCCCCUUGGUAUUCCGGGGGGCAUGCCUGUUCGAGCGUCAUUUCAACCCUCAAGCUCUGCUUGGUAUUGGGCACCGUCCUUUGCGGGCGCGCCUCAAAGACCUCGGCGGUGGCGUCUUGCCUCAAGCGUAGUAGAAUACACCUCGCUUCGGAGCGUAAGGCGUCGCCCGCCGGACGAACCUUCUGAACUUUUCUCAAGGUUGACCUCGGAUCAGGUAGGGAUACCCGCUGAACUUAAGCAUAUCAAUAAGCGGAGG